GAUGAACGCUGGCGGCGUGCCUAAUACAUGCAAGUCGAGCGAACAGACGAGGAGCUUGCUCCUCUGACGUUAGCGGCGGACGGGUGAGUAACACGUGGAUAACCUACCUAUAAGACUGGGAUAACUUCGGGAAACCGGAGCUAAUACCGGAUAAUAUAUUGAACCGCAUGGUUCAAUAGUGAAAGACGGUUUUGCUGUCACUUAUAGAUGGAUCCGCGCCGCAUUAGAUAGUUGGUAAGGUAACGGCUUACCAAGGCGACGAUGCGUAGCCGACCUGAGAGGGUGAUCGGCCACACUGGAACUGAGACACGGUCCAGACUCCUACGGGAGGCAGCAGUAGGGAAUCUUCCGCAAUGGGCGAAAGCCUGACGGAGCAACGCCGCGUGAGUGAUGAAGGUCUUCGGAUCGAAAAACUCUGUUAUUAGGGAAGAACAAAUGUGUAAGUAACUAGGCACGUCUAGACGGUACCUAAUCAAAGCCACGGCUAACUACGUG
This 495-nucleotide ribosomal RNA is filed under the name uncultured bacterium. RNAcentral describes it as "partial 16S ribosomal RNA". It matches the Rfam family "Bacterial small subunit ribosomal RNA", at positions 28 to 507 of the family's 1533-position model. The record is from RNAcentral.